AACCAGCACCUCAAGUGGUCAGGAUGAUUAUUGGGCCUAAAGCAUCCGUAGCCGGCUCUGUAAGUCCUCGGUUAAAUCUGUACGCUUAACGUACAGGCUGCCGGGAAUACUGCAUAGCUAGGGAGUGGGAGAGGUAGACGGUACUCGGUAGGAAGGGGUAAAAUCCUUUGAUCUAUUGAUGACCACCUGUGGCGAAGGCGGUCUACCAGAACACGUCCGACGGUGAGGGAUGAAAGCUGGGGGAGCAAACCGG
This 253-nucleotide ribosomal RNA is filed under the name uncultured archaeon. RNAcentral's name for it is "partial 16S ribosomal RNA". It matches the Rfam family "Archaeal small subunit ribosomal RNA", at positions 474 to 727 of the family's 1478-position model. The record is from RNAcentral.